Molecule: ribosomal RNA, 501 nt
Filed under: uncultured bacterium
Lineage: Bacteria
Description: bacterial SSU rRNA
Rfam family: Bacterial small subunit ribosomal RNA
Source: RNAcentral
AUGUUUGAUCAUGGCUCAGGAUGAACGCUGGCGGCGUGCUUAACACAUGCAAGUCGAACGAUGAUGGGAGCUUGCUCCUGGAUUAGUGGCGAACGGGUGAGUAACACGUGAGUAAUCUGCCCUUCACUCUGGGAUAACUGCCUGAAAGGGUGGCUAAUACUGGAUGCGACCAACUGCUGCAUGGUGUGUUGGUGGAAAGCGUUUAGUGGUGGGGGAUGUGCUCGCGGCCUAUCAGCUUGUUGGUGGGGUAAUGGCCUACCAAGGCUUUGACGGGUAGCCGGCCUGAGAGGGUGACCGGCCACACUGGGACUGAGACACGGCCCAGACUCCUACGGGAGGCAGCAGUGGGGAAUCUUGGACAAUGGGCGCAAGCCUGAUCCAGCCAUGCCGCGUGAGUGAUGAAGGCCUUCGGGUUGUAAAACUCUUUUGGCGGGGACGAUAAUGACGGUACCCGCAGAAUAAGCUCCGGCUAACUUCGUGCCAGCAGCCGCGGUAAUAGCU